Molecule: long non-coding RNA, 215 nt
Filed under: Elaeis guineensis (African oil palm)
Lineage: Eukaryota; Viridiplantae; Streptophyta; Magnoliopsida; Arecales; Arecaceae
Description: long non-coding RNA (EGUI_LNC082763)
Source: RNAcentral
GCAUAUAAAGAGGUGGGGUGAAGAGUCCUAGUGAUCUUGGACUCUUACAGGAUUCCACCUCCCUUCAUAAUUUUAUAUCCCACAACAUGCCAAAAAAAUAUGGAACACCUAUUCCUAUAAUUGUUUAUGAUAAAUCAAUUCUCCAACUAAUCUUUCAUAAAAAAUCUCCUCAAAAUGUAAUAUAUAUAAAGAGAAAGAUAUUUAUUCAUAUGUAG